GAGGGUAUAGCUCAAUGGUAGAGUGUGUGCUUAGCAUGCACAAGGUCCUGGGUUCAACUCCCAGUUCCUUCG
RNAcentral lists this transfer RNA (72 nucleotides) under Camelus bactrianus (Bactrian camel). It matches the Rfam family "tRNA". From Rfam's summary of the family: Transfer RNA (tRNA) molecules are approximately 80 nucleotides in length. Their secondary structure includes four short double-helical elements and three loops (D, anti-codon, and T loops). Further hydrogen bonds mediate the characteristic L-shaped molecular structure. tRNAs have two regions of fundamental functional importance: the anti-codon, which is responsible for specific mRNA codon recognition, and the 3' end, to which the tRNAs corresponding amino acid is attached (by aminoacyl-tRNA synthetases). tRNAs cope with the degeneracy of the genetic code in two manners: having more than one tRNA (with a specific anti-codon) for a particular amino acid; and 'wobble' base-pairing, i.e. permitting non-standard base-pairing at the 3rd anti-codon position. The record is from Rfam by way of RNAcentral. Lineage: Eukaryota; Metazoa; Chordata; Mammalia; Artiodactyla; Camelidae. RNAcentral also lists the same sequence under 2 other names.